ACCCUGUGUUGUUUUCAACGCAGAGAUUGUCCAGGCGCCGGAUCUGAGACAGUACUUAUCACAUCGGUACGACUGGGUCUCAGCCGGUCAGCUCAUGGGUGGAACAUUGACAUUGGUGCGGAGCCGAACGGCUCGAACUUAGUACGCCUGCUUGCAGGAAGGAACAGUUCGGACCGGGGAGCCUCGCACAUGCACGCUGUUGGGUCCUGAGGGACCGGACCUCAUCGCUGUGUCUUCAAGACGCUGAGAUGAGAACCGAAUCCUCUGGACCUUUUUUGGUCGGCCAUAACUGGGCCGGCGGAAAAGGUACCGCCCGUACUUUGAGAACUACACAGUGGACGCGAGCAUCUUAGAUUCGGACCUUCGGGUUCGGAUCACAAAAGAUGAUCAUAGUACUUUCGAGUACUGAUUAGAUCAUUGGUCAAUCUGCUCACUUCGG
Molecule: unclassified non-coding RNA, 439 nt
Filed under: Leifsonia xyli subsp. xyli
Lineage: Bacteria; Bacillati; Actinomycetota; Actinomycetes; Micrococcales; Microbacteriaceae
Description: partial 16S-23S ribosomal RNA intergenic spacer
Source: RNAcentral